CCUACGGGAGGCAGCAGUGAGGAAUAUUGGUCAAUGGGCGCGAGUCUGAACCAGCCAAGUCGCGUGAGGGAAGACGGUCCUAUGGAUUGUAAACCUCUUUUGUCGGGGAGCAAAAGACGCCACGCGUGGCGUUCCGAGAGUACCCGAAGAAAAAGCAUCGGCUAACUCCGUGCCAGCAGCCGCGGUAAACCGGAGGAUGCGAGCGUUAUCCGGAUUUAUUGGGAUAAAGGGGUGCGCAGGCGGAUGCUCAAGUCAGCGGUAAAAUUGAGAGGCUCAACCUCUUCGAGCCGUUGAAACUGGUUGUCUUGAGUGAGUGAGAGGUAGGCGGAAUGCGUGGUGUAGCGGUGAAAUGCAUAGAUAUCACGCAGAACUCCGAUUGCGAAGGCAGCAUACCGGCGCUCAACUGACGCUCAUGCACGAAAGUGUGGGUAUCGAACAGGAUUAGAUACCCGUGUAGUC
RNAcentral lists this ribosomal RNA (459 nucleotides) under uncultured bacterium. RNAcentral describes it as "partial 16S ribosomal RNA". It matches the Rfam family "Bacterial small subunit ribosomal RNA", at positions 338 to 795 of the family's 1533-position model. The record is from RNAcentral.